RNAcentral lists this non-coding RNA (94 nucleotides) under uncultured Cypionkella sp. RNAcentral's name for it is "TPP riboswitch (THI element)". It matches the Rfam family "TPP riboswitch aptamer (THI element)", at positions 8 to 91 of the family's 105-position model. From Rfam's summary of the family: Vitamin B(1) in its active form thiamin pyrophosphate (TPP) is an essential coenzyme that is synthesised by coupling of pyrimidine and thiazole moieties in bacteria. The previously detected thiamin-regulatory element, thi box was extended, resulting in a new, highly conserved RNA secondary structure, the THI element, which is widely distributed in eubacteria and also occurs in some archaea. Lineage: Bacteria; Pseudomonadati; Pseudomonadota; Alphaproteobacteria; Rhodobacterales; Paracoccaceae. The record is from RNAcentral.
CCUCGGGGUGCCAUCGGUCGAAAAACCGCUGGCUGAGAUGCGAAAGCGGACCCGUUGAACCUGAACCGGAUCAUACCGGCGGAGGGAAGGUGCA